This 466-nucleotide ribosomal RNA is filed under the name uncultured bacterium. RNAcentral describes it as "partial 16S ribosomal RNA". It matches the Rfam family "Bacterial small subunit ribosomal RNA", at positions 28 to 507 of the family's 1533-position model. The record is from RNAcentral.
GACGGACGCUGGCGGUGUGCUUAACACAUGCAAGUCGAACGGUAAGGCCCUUUCGGGGGUACACGAGUGGCGCACGGGUGAGUAACACGUGAGUAACCUGCCCUCAUCUCUGGGAUAACAGUCGGAAACGGUUGCUAAUACUGGAUAUGAGCUUGCAAGGCAUCUUGUGGGUUGGAAAGAUUUUUUUGGUUGGGGAUGGACUCGCGGCCUAUCAGCUUGUUGGUGAGGUAGUGGCUCACCAAGGCUUCGACGGGUAGCCGGCCUGAGAGGGCGACCGGCCACAUUGGGACUGAGAUACGGCCCAAACUCCUACGGGAGGCAGCAGUGGGGAAUAUUGCACAAUGGACGGAAGUCUGAUGCAGCAACGCCGCGUGCGGGAUGACGGCCUUCGGGUUGUAAACCGCUUUCAAUUGUGACGAAGCUUUUUGUGACGGUAGCAGUAGAAGAAGCACCGGCUAACUACGUG